GUGGGUAAAGCUCAGUGGUAGAGUGUGUGCUUAGCAUGCACGAGGUUCUGGGUUCAAUCCCCAGUACCUCCA
This 72-nucleotide transfer RNA is filed under the name Camelus bactrianus (Bactrian camel). It matches the Rfam family "tRNA". From Rfam's summary of the family: Transfer RNA (tRNA) molecules are approximately 80 nucleotides in length. Their secondary structure includes four short double-helical elements and three loops (D, anti-codon, and T loops). Further hydrogen bonds mediate the characteristic L-shaped molecular structure. tRNAs have two regions of fundamental functional importance: the anti-codon, which is responsible for specific mRNA codon recognition, and the 3' end, to which the tRNAs corresponding amino acid is attached (by aminoacyl-tRNA synthetases). tRNAs cope with the degeneracy of the genetic code in two manners: having more than one tRNA (with a specific anti-codon) for a particular amino acid; and 'wobble' base-pairing, i.e. permitting non-standard base-pairing at the 3rd anti-codon position. RNAcentral also lists the same sequence under 2 other names. The record is from Rfam by way of RNAcentral. Lineage: Eukaryota; Metazoa; Chordata; Mammalia; Artiodactyla; Camelidae.